UUACAGGCUCUGAGACCUCAUACGGGUAAAUCUCCGACAACACUCCAUCUGCAGCUAGAAUCAUGCAGGCAAGGCUAAACGAUGAUGAUGAUGAUGAUGGUGGGGAUACGUUUUACAGGAAACAUGGAUAUCUUUCUUAUUAACAAUAGUAUCGCAAGGGAGCAUCACUGAUAGGAUGAAUUUGCGUCUUGACUUGAGAUUCGCAGGUGAUCGAUCAUCAGGGCCAGGGCCUUAAUGAGCCCGCUCCCGGAGGACCUCAAGGUCUACCUCAGUUGGGUCGGUUGCCUGGAUCUCGUAGUGGAAUCC
This 306-nucleotide long non-coding RNA is filed under the name Oryza sativa (Asian cultivated rice). Its description in RNAcentral is "long non-coding RNA (OSAT_LNC000652)". The record is from RNAcentral. Lineage: Eukaryota; Viridiplantae; Streptophyta; Magnoliopsida; Poales; Poaceae.